Molecule: long non-coding RNA, 1150 nt
Organism: Piliocolobus tephrosceles (Ugandan red Colobus)
Lineage: Eukaryota; Metazoa; Chordata; Mammalia; Primates; Cercopithecidae
Exons: 2
Source: RefSeq, a predicted model, not a curated record
CCGGGGUCUGGGAGGCGGCGCGUAGACUGGGGUGGAGGUGCACGGAAUAGCGGGAGGGGAGUACUGCCGGCUACCACGGUUCUGACUCCCGCUGUCGGGGCGGGAGCUCGCUCGGUCCAAGGUCCCAGAGCCGGACCGCCGCCCUUGGACUUUGAGCGGGUGCGUGCGGCGGCCACGUGGGCGAGGAACGCGGGUCGGGCCGCCUCUCGAGUGGCGGCCUUGGUUCUUCCCGCGGGGCUGGGCUCGCCGGGGCCCGGAGCCCGCCGGGAAGAGUUCGGAAAUCACACGUGUGCUGUUUCCCGCUCUGUGCCUUCCCUGUUUGAAUUCUCUUAGGAAUCUCUAACUUCAUUGAGGACACGGGUGUAAGCAGAAGCUGUGUUCUCAGCUCCAAGAGGCAAAGCCCACGAAAGCCUAGGCAGGUGAAUUUCCUAAAGGCGUUGACAGUUGGAAAACCUGUGUUUUCAGCACGUGAUAAAUCUGCGUAGUCAGCAGACAAUGAAGAUUUGGCAUUCAAGAACUACUCAACUACUUAUCGAUAAUACCUAUUAUGAGCCUGCCUUGAUAGACCGAACUUGCUCAUAUUUAAAUCAUCAAGAUAGAGGAAAGAAUGUAACAACUUUUAAAAAUGUUUCUUAACCCGUAAAUACUUGGAUAAGGUAUGUUAUAUUGGACCAUGGAACUUUUUCGCAGGGAGGGGAGAAGAAAGCAAAAGUAAAGUUUGAAUUUACAUUCAACCUUAAUUUGAUUGUGUAUAUUUGUCACCAAAUAAAUUAGUGCAAAGUUGACCAUACAACUGAUUAUGCAACAGUGAGUGUAACCGACUUUUCUUUUGGCUAAGCCAAUGGUGACUAAAGAAGGUCCUUCUGUUGCUCUGUCUUCACGUCAUCAGGGGGUCAUACUACCUGUAUUUUUAGACCAAUAUGAAAUACCCUUUUUUUUUUUUUUCCCUGAGACGAUCUCGCCCUGUCGUCCAGGCUGGAGUGCAGCAGUGCAAUCAUGCCUCACUGCAGCCUUGAUCUCCUGGGCUGAAGCUAUCCUCCCACCUCAGUCUCCCCAGUAGCAGGGACAAGAGGUACAGGUCACCACACCUGAUUACUGACCCUUUUUUUUUAAAUUAGCAGUAACAAUAAAGAGCUUUUUUCACAAUUGC